RNAcentral lists this ribosomal RNA (482 nucleotides) under uncultured bacterium. RNAcentral's name for it is "bacterial SSU rRNA". It matches the Rfam family "Bacterial small subunit ribosomal RNA", at positions 30 to 507 of the family's 1533-position model. The record is from RNAcentral.
CGAACGCUGGCGGCGGGCUUAACACAUGCAAGUCGAACGUGAAGCCCGGGGCUUGCUCCGGGUGGAAAGUGGCGAACGGGUGCGUAACGCGUAGGCAACCUGCCCUCAAGUGGGGAAUAACCAUCGGAAACGGUGGCUAAUACCGCAUGAUGUCUUGUUUUCGCAUGGAGACGAGAUCAAAGCCUUGUGUGCUUGAGGAUGGGCCUGCGUCGGAUUAGCUAGUUGGUGAGGUAAUGGCUCACCAAGGCGACGAUCCGUAGCUGGUCUGAGAGGAUGAUCAGCCACACUGGCACUGAGACACGGGCCAGACUCCUACGGGAGGCAGCAGUGAGGAAUAUUGCGCAAUGGGCGAAAGCCUGACGCAGCCACGCCGCGUGGAGGAAGACACCCCUAUGGGGCGUAAACUCCUUUUAUACGAGAAGAAAUCCCCUACAUGUAGGGGCCUGACGGUAUCGUAUGAAUAAGCACCGGCUAACUCCGUG